RNAcentral lists this ribosomal RNA (485 nucleotides) under uncultured bacterium. RNAcentral's name for it is "partial 16S ribosomal RNA". It matches the Rfam family "Bacterial small subunit ribosomal RNA", at positions 30 to 506 of the family's 1533-position model. The record is from RNAcentral.
AUUGAACGCUGGCGGAAUGCUUUACACAUGCAAGUCGAACGGCAGCACGGGAGCUUGCUCCUGGUGGCGAGUGGCGAACGGGUGAGUAACAUAUCGGAACGUACCCAGUCGUGGGGGAUAACUAUCCGAAAGGAUAGCUAAUACCGCAUACGUCCUGAGGGAGAAAGCGGGGGAUCGCAAGACCUCGCGCGAUUGGAGCGGCCGAUAUCGGAUUAGCUAGUUGGUGGGGUAAAGGCUCACCAAGGUGACGAUCCGUAGCGGGUCUGAGAGGACGACCCGCCACACUGGAACUGAGACACGGUCCAGACUCCUACGGGAGGCAGCAGUGGGGAAUUUUGGACAAUGGGGGCAACCCUGAUCCAGCCAUUCCGCGUGAGUGAAGAAGGCCUUCGGGUUGUAAAGCUCUUUCAGCAGGAACGAAACGGUCGGCUUUAAUAAAGUCGGCUAAUGACGGUACCUGCAGAAGAAGCACCGGCUAACUACGU